This 20-nucleotide non-coding RNA is filed under the name Mus musculus (house mouse). The record is from RNAcentral. Lineage: Eukaryota; Metazoa; Chordata; Mammalia; Rodentia; Muridae.
AGCCAAUCAAGGAGUGACAC